This 650-nucleotide ribosomal RNA is filed under the name Scintilla philippinensis. RNAcentral's name for it is "eukaryotic LSU rRNA". The stretch from base 283 to 650 matches the Rfam family "Eukaryotic large subunit ribosomal RNA", at positions 1 to 933 of the family's 3401-position model. Lineage: Eukaryota; Metazoa; Mollusca; Bivalvia; Galeommatida; Galeommatidae. The record is from RNAcentral.
GAUCCGCAAGGUGUUGGACCGGGGAAUUCAGCCCGCGCCCCCGCGGCGCGGGUGCACUUUCUCCGGGACGAGAGCCACGACCAUGUCCGCGGCUGCUCGAGGUGGUGCGAAGGUUUCCAGGCGCAGGGAGCUUACAGAGCACCGUCCUGCGAGUCUGUACGUCGCGGGCCCGAGGACGCUGGCCGCGCGCCCACUGCGCCGGGUCGUCUUCGCGCGUUUGACUGCGGCGCCACUGCUGUUCUCGGUAGAGUGUCGCGACCGCGGGCGUCGACUCUGGCCCGGUGGCCCGGGUGUGAUGAGGGUUGGUGGCGAAUCAGUCGGCACUCCACCCAACCCGUCUUGAAACACGGACCAAGGAGUCUAACAUGUGCGCGAGUCAUGGGGACCGUCGAAUCCCGAUGGCGCAAUGAAAGUGAAGGCCGCCCUCGGCUGGCCGAUGCAGGAUCCCGUCGGCCCUGCCCGUCUCGAUAGCGGUGCGGUCGUUCGCGACCGCAUUCGUCUACAAGGCGGAGCAAGAGCGUACACGUUGGUACCCAAAAGAUGGUGAACUAUGCCUAAGCAGAACGAAGUCAGAGGAAACUCUGAUGGAGGUCCGCAGAGAUUCUGACGUGCAAAUCGAUCGUCAAACUUGGGUAUAGGAGGAAAGACUA